RNAcentral lists this ribosomal RNA (426 nucleotides) under uncultured bacterium. RNAcentral describes it as "bacterial SSU rRNA". It matches the Rfam family "Bacterial small subunit ribosomal RNA", at positions 354 to 796 of the family's 1533-position model. The record is from RNAcentral.
GUGAGGAAUAUUGCACAAUGGGCGAAAGCCUGAUGCAGCAACGCCGCGUGAGGGACGAAGGCCUUCGGGUCGUAAACCUCUUUUCUGGGGGAAGAGCAAGGACGGUACCUCAGGAAUAAGUCUCGGCUAACUACGUGCCAGCAGCCGCGGUAACACGUAGGAGGCGAGCGUUAUCCGGAUUUACUGGGCGUAAAGCGCGCGCAGGCGGCUUCGUUAGUCGGACGUGAAAGCUCCUGGCUUAACUGGGAGAGGCCGUUCGAUACUGCGAGGCUUGAGGUUGGGAGAGGGGUGUGGAAUUCCCGGUGUAGUGGUGGAAUGCGUAGAUAUCGGGAGGAACACCUGUGGCGAAAGCGGCACCCUGGCCCACACCUGACGCUGAGGUGCGAAAGCGUGGGGAGCAAACAGGAUUAGAAACCCCUGUAGUCC